Molecule: unclassified non-coding RNA, 381 nt
Filed under: soil metagenome
Description: partial contains 5.8S ribosomal RNA, internal transcribed spacer 2, and large subunit ribosomal RNA
Rfam family: 5.8S ribosomal RNA (bases 1-120)
Source: RNAcentral
GAUGAAGAACGCAGCGAAAUGCGAUAAGUAAUGUGAAUUGCUGAAUUCAGUGAAUCAUCGAAUCUUUGAACGCACCUUGCGCUCCUUGGUAUUCCGAGGAGCAUGCCUGUUUGAGUGUCAUUAAUAUAUCAACCUCUUCAGCUUAUGCUUGUUGAGUGUUGGAUGGUGGGGGUUUGCUGGUGUCUUAUGAAGUCAGCUCCUCUGAAAUGCAUUAGCGGAACAAUUUGUUGACCGUUCAUUGGUGUGAUAAAAAUAUCUACGCUAUUGACGUCAGUCAGUUCAGCUUCUAACAGUCCAUUGACUUGGACAAAUUUUUCAUUAAUGUGACCUCAAAUCAGGUAGGACUACCCGCUGAACUUAAGCAUAUCAAUAAGCGGAGGA